CAAUAGCGUAUAUUUAAGUUGUUGCAGUUAAAAAGCUCGUAGUUGGAUUUCGGAUGGGAUUUGCCGGUCCGUCGUUACGAUGUGCACUGGCCAGUCCUAUCUUGUUGUCGGGGACUAGCUCCUUGGAUUCACUUCCUGGGACUAGGAGCUGACGAGGUUACUUUGAGUAAAUUAGAGUGUUCAAAGCAAGCCUACGCUCUGAAUACAUUAGCAUGGAAUAACACGAUAGGACUCUGGCUUAUCUUGUUGGUCUGUGAGACCAGAGUAAUGAUUAAGAGGGACAGUCGGGGACAUUCGUAUUUCAUUGUCGGAGGUGAAAUUCUUGGAUUUAUGAAAGACGAACUUCUGCGAAAGCGUUUGUCAAGGAUGUUUUCAUUAA
Molecule: ribosomal RNA, 379 nt
Filed under: uncultured eukaryote
Lineage: Eukaryota
Description: partial 18S ribosomal RNA
Rfam family: Eukaryotic small subunit ribosomal RNA
Source: RNAcentral